RNAcentral lists this ribosomal RNA (478 nucleotides) under uncultured bacterium. RNAcentral describes it as "partial 16S ribosomal RNA". It matches the Rfam family "Bacterial small subunit ribosomal RNA", at positions 28 to 523 of the family's 1533-position model. The record is from RNAcentral.
GACGAACGCUGGCGGCGUGCUUAACACAUGCAAGUCGAACGGUAAGGCCCUUCGGGGUACACGAGUGGCGAACGGGUGAGUAACACGUGGGUGAUCUGCCCUGCACUUCGGGAUAAGCCUGGGAAACUGGGUCUAAUACCGGAUAGGACUCCUGGCUUCAUGGUUGGGGGUGGAAAGCUUUUGCGGUGUGGGAUGGGCCCGCGGCCUAUCAGCUUGUUGGUGGGGUAAUGGCCUACCAAGGCGACGACGGGUAGCCGGCCUGAGAGGGUGACCGGUCGCAGUGGGACUGAGAUACGGCCCAGACGCCUACGGGAGGCAGCAGUGGGGAAUAUUGCACAAUGGGCGCAAGCCUGAUGCAGCGACGCCGCGUGAGGGAUGACGGCCUUCGGGUUGUAAACCUCUUUCAGCUAUGACGAAGCGCAAGUGACGGUAGUAGCAGAAGAAGGACCGGCCAACUACGUGCCAGCAGCCGCGGUAA